This is a long non-coding RNA of Tupaia belangeri chinensis (Chinese tree shrew), 805 nucleotides long. RefSeq lists it as uncharacterized. The record is from RefSeq and is a predicted model, not a curated record. NCBI's taxonomy places the organism in Eukaryota, Metazoa, Chordata, Mammalia, Scandentia, Tupaiidae. The transcript is spliced from 3 exons.
GCCGCAGAGCUGGGCCAGCCUAGGGAGCCGGCGGGUGGCCAGGGAGCGACAGGUGGUUGGCAGGCAGGGUCUCAGCGCACACGUGCACGCACCCGAGGAGCCCUUCAGGGCCAGGAUCCCGCCGUGCGCAGCCACGUGCAGUCUGGCUCCCCUACGGUGCUGCUUCUGAUGCUUAUUCUUAGUUUUCGUCUUCUGCUUGUUCUCCGCCUUUUAUGGCUUUAACUGUGUGCUGUUAGAUGAUUUACUGUCAUUUUUAAUUAACAAAUACUAAUCUUGCAUAUUUAUGAGAUGCAGUGGAGUUUUUCAACACGCACACCACGUAAUGGUCAAAUGUGGGCGAUGAACACACUGGGAGAGACCCUGUCACGGACUGCAGCGUAGGACUCGCCUAGAAAUGUGCGACAGACUUCCGAUCAUGACAGAUGGUGGCAAUAGAAGGAAAGGACCAGCAAGUGCACACACUCUAAGGCAAAAACCUCUAAAAAAAUAAAUAAAAGCCUCAGCCAUGAAUCCUGUGCCGAGUGAGGAAAAGAUGUCGCUGUUUUGCCCUACUGGGAGCAGAGUGGAUUGUGCUUUGAACCGUCAGGAAUCAGGGCCCCUGUGAAGGAAACGGAUCAGGGGUCUUCUUUGCCAUUUCCUGCUGCUCUUACUGAAACCUGUCACGAGUGUCCCAUGAAUUGUGUAGUGAGCGAGCCUCCAGCAAAAGCUCGUCACCUGUCCUCUGAGACUUUGUGUCAGACUCAUCUGUGAGACUCUGCCUGUGCUUGUCGGCAUCCACUGUUGGGAAGUCGUGUCUGGCCCCAUG